CCCGAGGAUGGGACUGCGGCCUAUCAGGCUGUUGGCGGUGUAACGGACCACCAAACCUACAACGGGUACGGGCGAUGGGAGUCGGAGCCCGGAGAUGGGGACUGAGACAAGGCCCCAGGCCCUACGGGGCGCAGCAGGUACGAAAACUCCGCAAUGCGCGAAAGCGUGACGGGGGAACCCCAAGUGCCGUUGGUCUUUGAUCGACGGCUUUUAGGGAGUCUAAGAAGCUCCCAGAAUAAGGGCUGGGCAAGUCGGGUGCCAGCCGCCGCGGUAAUACCCGCAGCCCAAGUAGUGGUCGCGAUUAUUGGGCCUAAAGCGCUCGUAGCCGGGUCAGCAAGUCCCUUGUGAAAUCGGGCGGCCUAACCGUUCGGCUUGCAAGGGAUACUGUUGGUCUUGAGGCCGGGAGACGUCUGAGGUACUCCGGGGGUAGCGGUAAAAUGCUGUAAUCCUCGGGGGACCACCAGUGGCGAAGGCGUCAGACGAGAACGGACCUGACGGUGAGGGGCGAAGGCUAGGGGAGCGAACGGGAUUAGAUACCCCGGUAGUCCUAGCUGUAAAGGAU
Molecule: ribosomal RNA, 562 nt
Filed under: uncultured archaeon
Lineage: Archaea
Description: bacterial SSU rRNA
Rfam family: Archaeal small subunit ribosomal RNA
Source: RNAcentral